GAUUCACAUUUUGUUCAUGGUAGAGAUUCUCUUGUUGACAUUUUAAAAUAGCGUGGAUUACUAUCUGAGUCCGAUGCUGUUCAACCACUAAUAGGUAAGAAAUCAUGAGUCAAGUUACUGAACAAUCCGUACGUUUCCAGACCGCUUUGGCCUCUAUUAAGCUCAUUCAGGCUUCUGCCGUUUUGGAUUUAACCGAAGAUGAUU
Molecule: ribosomal RNA, 204 nt
Filed under: uncultured prokaryote
Description: partial 16S ribosomal RNA
Source: RNAcentral